UGAUUAAUGCUUAGGAAUCUGCCUAUUAGUGGGGGACAACAUUUCGAAAGGAAUGCUAAUACCGCAUACGUCCUACGGGAGAAAGCAGGGGAUCUUCGGACCUUGCGCUAAUAGAUGAGCCUAAGUCGGAUUAGCUAGUUGGUGGGGUAAAGGCCUACCAAGGCGACGAUCUGUAGCGGGUCUGAGAGGAUGAUCCGCCACACUGGGACUGAGACACGGCCCAGACUCCUACGGGAGGCAGCAGUGGGGAAUAUUGGACAAUGGGCGCAAGCCUGAUCCAGCCAUGCCGCGUGUGUGAAGAAGGCCUUAUGGUUGUAAAGCACUUUAAGCGAGGAGGAGGCUACUUUAGAUAAUACCUAGAGAUAGUGGACGUUACUCGCAGAAUAAGCACCGGCUAACUCUGUGCCAGCAGCCGCGGUAAUACAGAGGGUGCAAGCGUUAAUCGGAUUUACUGGGCGUAAAGCGCGCGUAGGCGGCUAAUUAAGUCAAAUGUGAAAUCCCCGAGCUUAACUUGGGAAUUGCAUUCGAUACUGGUUAGCUAGAGUGUGGGAGAGGAUGGUAGAAUUCCAGGUGUAGCGGUGAAAUGCGUAGAGAUCUGGAGGAAUACCGAUGGCGAAGGCAGCCAUCUGGCCUAACACUGACGCUGAGGUGCGAAAGCAUGGGGAGCAAACAGGAUUAGAUACCCUGGUAGUCCAUGCCGUAAACGAUGUCUACUAGCCGUUGGGGCCUUUGAGGCUUUAGUGGCGCAGCUAACGCGAUAAGUAGACCGCCCUGGGGGAGUACGGGUCGC
This 790-nucleotide ribosomal RNA is filed under the name Acinetobacter sp. RS3. RNAcentral's name for it is "bacterial SSU rRNA". It matches the Rfam family "Bacterial small subunit ribosomal RNA", at positions 107 to 889 of the family's 1533-position model. Lineage: Bacteria; Pseudomonadati; Pseudomonadota; Gammaproteobacteria; Moraxellales; Moraxellaceae. The record is from RNAcentral.